RNAcentral lists this transfer RNA (64 nucleotides) under Hemisphaerius rufovarius. RNAcentral describes it as "tRNA-Ala". The record is from RNAcentral. Lineage: Eukaryota; Metazoa; Arthropoda; Insecta; Hemiptera; Issidae.
AGGAGAAUAGUUUAAAAUAAAACAUUUUCCCUGCAAGAAAAAUAUAUCCAUAAGAUUUCUCUUA